RNAcentral lists this ribosomal RNA (573 nucleotides) under uncultured bacterium. RNAcentral's name for it is "partial 16S ribosomal RNA". It matches the Rfam family "Bacterial small subunit ribosomal RNA", at positions 355 to 921 of the family's 1533-position model. The record is from RNAcentral.
UGGGGAAUUUUGGACAAUGGGGGAAACCCUGAUCCAGCCAUCCCGCGUGUGCGAUGAAGGCCUUCGGGUUGUAAAGCACUUUUGGCAGGAAAGAAACGUCGCGGGUUAAUACCCCGCGGAACUGACGGUACCUGCAGAAUAAGCACCGGCUAACCACGUGCCAGCAGCCGCGGUAAUACGUAGGGUGCAAGCGUUAAUCGGAAUUACUGGGCGUAAAGCGUGCGCAGGCGGUUCGGAAAGAAAGAUGUGAAAUCCCAGAGCUUAACUUUGGAACUGCAUUUUUAACUACCGGGCUAGAGUGUGUCAGAGGGAGGUGGAAUUCCGCGUGUAGCAGUGAAAUGCGUAGAUAUGCGGAGGAACACCGAUGGCGAAGGCAGCCUCCUGGGAUAACACUGACGCUCAUGCACGAAAGCGUGGGGAGCAAACAGGAUUAGAUACCCUGGUAGUCCACGCCCUAAACGAUGUCAACUAGCUGUUGGGGUCUUCGGACCUUGGUAGCGCAGCUAACGCGUGAAGUUGACCGCCUGGGGAGUACGGUCGCAAGAUUAAAACUCAAAUGAAUUGACGGGGUCG